ACAAGAGGAGGUCAACUUGGAUGUCAAAGAUAAAAAGAAUGUGUUGGAGGACAAGCAAAAAAUUGAAGAUGACAGAAAAAGCACAGAAGAUGUGGAACAAGAGAGAGCUCAAAAGAAAACAAACAGACAGAAUGAGAAACCAGUGAAGGAAGACCAAAACUGGUUGGAGGAGGAAAGUAAUGUGAAAGACAUGGGACAUGCAGAUGAAAAGACAGAAGGUGAAAGUAAGGUAUUGGAGACGGGGAAAGAAGGUGAUCAGACUGUGGAAAAGGAGUUUCUGAAAGACCAAGUACAGAUAAAGCCCUCUUCUAAGGAAGUUGUAGACUGGACAGACGUCAAGGAAGCGGAGAUUAAAGAGGAGAUCCACAAUGAUGUGUGUGAGGACCAUCAGGACAUUACAGUGACCAAAUCUGUUUUGAGGGACUCCAAAAAUGAAGACAGUGUCACCCUGAAGGACUGUAAGACCAACUCGGCAUACUUUCCUCUCAAAGUUUCCUCUCUUGAUGAAGCCACAGUAGCAACAAACACUGGGGUUGAGACUAAAGAGCUGAUCCAAAAUUAUGUGGCUGAGUACCAACAGGACAUUACUGUGACUGAAUCUAUUUUUAGUGACCCAAAAAUUAAGGAUGAAGAUAUUUCGCUUAAGGACACUAAGACCAACUCUGCAUGCUUCCAGGAGAUUACAGUUGGCCAACAAACACUGGAAGAGAGAAAUGAGAAGGACAAAGGGCAAAAUAGACUAGAAGAAGAGAGAAAGAAGAUGGAGGAGCAAGAAAAGAAAUGGGUGGAAGAGGAAAUAAGAAAGGGAGAGAUGAUCAUAAUGGAGGAGCAAAUGAAGAGAGAGGAAGAGAAAAGAAGGGUGGAGGACGAAAGAAAGGAAGAGGCUGUGAGGUUGGAGAUGAACAGAGAGAGAAUGGAGGAAGAAAAAAAGAUGAUGGGUGCAAACAAUGACGAUAAUCUGUUAAGGAUUCAGGAAGAGGAGAGAAUGAGAGCUCUGGAAUUAGAAAAGAGGAACAGAGUGACAGACGAACAGCUAACAGACACCUGGACAGAAGCAGUGAAUUUAGAAGUGACAUACUCAGAUGAUGAGGACUGGAUAGACUCUGAACGUGAUAAUGAAAUCAAGAUCCAGACAGAUGAGAAGCAGCAGGACCUUGAGAGUGAGUUGGAGGAGAGCAUUGAUAAAGAACUGAGCCAUGGAGAGCACAGUGACAUAGAGAAUAAACUGGCAGAGAAAGAGGUUGAGAGAAGCCCAACUUCUAUGGCAGAGCAGUCUGGAAAAUCAUCAGUCCAAGAUGAAGAACACUUGCGGAGCCCUGAAGUGACAGCACAUGCAAACCCACAGCAUACUCAAUAUAUGAAGUCACCAUUGCCAGAUCUCUCAUCUCCUACAGAAAAUAUGGCAUCACAAACCCUACCUCCACGACAGGAUAAACUCACAGAUUCAGUGGAUGGGGAAACCUUCUGUGAAAAGCAGGAAUAUUCAGAUUAUGACGGUGGGACGGAGUCUGAGAAGUUGAACAAUGAAGGUAAGAUCCAGAAAGCUCAAGAGAUCCAGACGGAGGACAUUGACCACAAGUCUGAGGACAGCAUAGUUGAAGAACUGAGCCAAGAUGAUCAGAGUGACAUUGACAUUGAGGCGGUACAUUUAGUGGAGGUUGAAAGCAACAUCAGCAGCUUCACAAAUAUGAGGAAACCAGCGGCAUGCGCAGCAGUACUGGAGGACCAGUCUGGGCAACAGUCAGCAAAGCCAAAAGACAUGGCAAAGGAACAGAAGGAUGGUGAUAUGAAGGCAGAAAUAUUUAGGGUGGAAGAACAAGGGAAGAGAGUUCAAGAAAACAGCCAGAAGCAUAAUACAAAACAGGAGCAAGAGACAAUGAAGUUAAAUAUGGGCAGAGAAAGAAUGGAAGAAGAGAUAAAGAUGAUGGAUGCAGAACAUGAUAAAGCCAAUAUGUCAAGGAGACUGGAAGAGAAGAGUAUGAGUGCUCUGGAAGAAGAAGAGGAGAAGAGGAGAGUAAAGGAGGAAGUUGAGACAGAAAUGGUGAAAGGACAUCCCUCCCCUGCAGAAAAGUUAGAGUCUGAUGAUAAAGUCUUGAUAGUCCCUGAAGAAUGUGAAAAAGAAGGAAAGAAAGGCAGGAAUAAAGGCAAGGAGAUCCUGACGGAGGACAAAGAACCUAUGAUGAAGCCCGAAAAGACAGCACAUGCAAAUUCAGAGAAUAUUCUACUGAAGUCACCUUUACAAGGAGAUCACCUCUCUCCCAUUGUGGAAAAGGUGACAUCAAAACCUUUGGCACCAUUACAAGACAUGGACAAGCAUCAGCUACAUGAUGGUUCUAAGGCAGCAAUGGGGACCAUGAAGAAGCAAAAUAAAAAGGCAAAAGACACAAGAAAAAGAAACAAAGAGGCUAAAAAAAGGAAAGACGAGGUAAAAAGAUUGGAAAUGGACCGGGACACAACGGAGAAAGAAAAAGAGAAAGAGAAAGAGAAGAUGGUUGAAGAAAAAAAGAAAGCCGAGCUGAUUUGGAGACUGGAGGAGGAGAGACUGAAGGCUUUGGCAGAAGUGACAGAAACAGACAUGGCAAAGGAACAGAAGGAUGGUGAUAUGAAGGCAGACAUAUUGUGGGUGGAAGAACAAGGGAAGAUAGUUCAAGAAAACAGCCAGAAGCAUAAGACAAAACAGGAGCAAGAGACAAUGAAGUUAAAUAUGGGCAGAGAAAGAAUGGAAGAAGAGAUAAAGAUGAUGGAUGCAGAACAUGAUAAAGCCAAUAUGUCAAGGAGACUGGAAGAGAAGAGUAUGAGUGCUCUGGAAGAAGAAGAGGAGAAGAGGAGAGUAAAGGAGGAAGUUGAGACAGAGAUGGUGAAAGGACAUCCCUCCCCUGCAGAAAAGUUAGAGUCUGAUGAUAAAGUCUUGAGAGUUCCUGCAGAAUGUGAAAAAGAAGGAAAGAAAGGCAGGAAUAAAGGCAAGGAGAUCCUGACGGAGGACAAAGAACAUAUGUUGAAGCCUGAAAAGACAGCACAUGCAAAUUCAGAGAAUAUUCUACUGAAGUCACCUUUACAAGGAGAUCACCUCUCUCCCAUUGUGGAAAAGGUGACAUCAAAACCUUUGGCACCAUUACAAGACAUGUGCAAGCAUCAGCUAGAUGAUGGUUCUAAUGCAGCAAUGG
Molecule: long non-coding RNA, 3164 nt
Organism: Clupea harengus (Atlantic herring)
Lineage: Eukaryota; Metazoa; Chordata; Actinopteri; Clupeiformes; Clupeidae
Source: Ensembl